AUAAUACUCCCUCCGUCCGUAAAUACUUGUCAUAGGAUUGGAUGUAUCUAGAUGCAUUUUAGUUCUUUAUACAUUCAUUUUUAUACAUUUGUGUGACAAAUAAUUCUAGACGAAGGGAGUAAUAA
RNAcentral lists this microRNA precursor (125 nucleotides) under Hordeum vulgare. RNAcentral describes it as "microRNA MIR1122". It matches the Rfam family "MIR1120/MIR1122 microRNA precursor family". Lineage: Eukaryota; Viridiplantae; Streptophyta; Magnoliopsida; Poales; Poaceae. The record is from RNAcentral.